This 1197-nucleotide unclassified non-coding RNA is filed under the name Hevea brasiliensis (rubber tree). The record is from RNAcentral. Lineage: Eukaryota; Viridiplantae; Streptophyta; Magnoliopsida; Malpighiales; Euphorbiaceae.
AGCCAGACCAUUUUGCUUAGCACACAAACUGAUAUAUGGCAUGCACAUAGCAAGAUACAGAAGGCAUAAACUACAAGCAAGUAAACUAAAAAUGCAAAGAACCUCACGUAGUUUCCAUAAACAAAAAAGCAUGCCUAAGGUGCUCCACUGAUAUAGUGAAAUUAAGUCUUUUAAAGAAAAAAAAAUAAAAAAAGAGCCUAAUACUGACCCCAAACAUCAAACUGAGGCUGCUAGCGGAAGCUACAAUAUAAACACUACUUUCAAAUAUGAUAUGCCGCAAUAUGCCAAUAAUACUACCAAAAUUGAAUGCAAGAACAAGUGAUCAAUAGGCCCCAUCCCACAAGGAACUAAGGGAGAUUGAUUUGUUGUAUCAGAUCACAAAACAUAAAGGCAAAGCUACCAUAGCAUGCCAUAUCACACUGCCAUUCUAGUUCUACAAGUUGUCAAAAAUCAGUCUGGAUGGACUUUUAACAAAUGGCAAGCAUGCAGUGAGUAGAAAGCUACACAAACAAAAUACUGCUAAGCAUUAAGUCAUUAAAAAAACAAAAUCAGCAUCAAGCUUCACAUUUCUACUACUAUUCACAGCAACUAUAUGUUAUAUUUUAACAGUGGAAAAAAUAUCUGCCCAAAGAAAUCCUCAACCAAAAGAGAAGUAACUAUAACUUUAACUUCAACGAAAUUAGGUCUCUUUUACCCAAUAUUUCAAAGCAUAUAACUGUAACCCUUCAUUUGGUUAGCAAAACAGAAACAAGCCGAAUUGAGUUGGUGUGAAAAUUGCGUUCUAACAAUUUGUGAACUAGUAAUUCAAAUUUCAUUGUGGAAUAGCUACUCUGUGUAAUAAUUAUUCCAAAUUUAUAGCAUGAAGUAAAGUGGAAUAUAAUUAUUGUAAUCCCAUAAUAUUGCCGACUAGUCCAUGCACCAAAAAAGCCCAAGAUGAUGAACUAAGACCAAAAAAGCUACAAUACUAAGCUAAACGGUUUCGUCCAAUCCUACCCCGACUGGUUUCCCUGUAAACAAGGAGAACAUUAAUCAUAGACCAAAAUUUAUCUAGAUACAAAAAGAACAUGUUAUAAUUUUUCCCAUUUACAGAAACCAAAUAUCAUAAAUCAUUUCUGAAAAAAGAAAAUCACCGAAGAAUACCAAUUCACCAACGAAAAUGAUAGAAACCAUUAAUUUAAAAUUGGUGAAUAAAGAACA